Non-coding RNA from Macaca mulatta (Rhesus monkey), 759 nucleotides. The record is from RefSeq and is a predicted model, not a curated record. Lineage: Eukaryota; Metazoa; Chordata; Mammalia; Primates; Cercopithecidae.
GGAGGUGGUGAAGGUGUAGGGAGAGAAGAGAAGGUAUGAAAUCAUCACCUGGGAGAGUGGGAGACAGAAAAGACAAGAGAAGUAUAAUAUGUUUGUGGAGCAUCAUUCAGGGCCCACGGGAUUUUUAUCAGCAAUGUAAAGGGUGAACAGAGGCUGACUGAGUCUGUUCUCCAGCCAUGGGGCGGUGCAGGCCCAGAGUGGCUGGAGAGCUCCAUUCAACCAGAGUUGUGGUUUCAUCAGGAGAGAGCCUGAAAGCGAGAGAGAGAAAUAACAGCAAACAAGUACAAGAAAGAGAGAGAGAGAGACAGCAAGAAUUACAGCCUGUAUGGAAGACGACUCUAAAUAAUGAUGAUAAUAUUGGUGGAAUCAAAGCAUCUAGAAGACCAUGCAUUCCAUUUUAAAUCUAGUUGAGAUGGCAUAAUUCAUACCUCCUCAAAUUUGGACAAUUAUAAAUGACUCAACCAGCAGGUGCCAAAUUGCACCUAUACCCUGAGUAUACCUGAAGCAACCACUUAAACCCAAGCUAAUAGCCAGAUGUAUGCUCACUGAAUGGAUAACUUACCUAACCUUGAGAAGCUCCUUAAAGUACUCUCCUGAUCUUCUGGCAAAUAAUUCAGCAAACAUCUUUCGUUGCUUGAGAAUGCCCUGGGAGGCCUCCUCCUUAUCCUCAGUAAGCUUGUCAGUGUGUUUCUUCCAAGCACAUACAGCACUUUCCCAAAGAGAUCUAAUAAAAUAAAAACUUUCCUCUUCUCAUUAUAA